Myotis lucifugus (little brown bat) is the source of this 100-nucleotide small nuclear RNA. Lineage: Eukaryota; Metazoa; Chordata; Mammalia; Chiroptera; Vespertilionidae. The record is from Ensembl.
GUGCUUGCUUUGCAGUAUACAUACUAAAAUUGGAAUGAUGCAGAGAAGAUUAGCAUGGCCCCUGUGCAAGUAUGACAUGCAUGAAGCAUUUCAUAUUUUU